Molecule: ribosomal RNA, 301 nt
Filed under: uncultured bacterium
Lineage: Bacteria
Description: partial 16S ribosomal RNA
Rfam family: Bacterial small subunit ribosomal RNA
Source: RNAcentral
CAGUAGCCGCGGUAAUACAGAGGGUGCGAGCGUUAAUCGGAUUUACUGGGCGUAAAGCGUGCGUAGGCGGCUUCUUAAGUCGGAUGUGAAAUCCCUGAGCUUAACUUAGGAAUUGCAUUCGAUACUGGGAAGCUAGAGUAUGGGAGAGGAUGGUAGAAUUCCAGGUGUAGCGGUGAAAUACGUAGAGAUCUGGAGGAAUACCGAUGGCGAAGGCAGCCAUCUGGCCUAAUACUGACGCUGAGGUACGAAAGCAUGGGGAGCAAACAGGAUUAGAUACCCCUGUAGUCCCUGUCUCUUAUAC